CCUACGGGUGGCAGCAGUGGGGAAUAUUGGACAAUGGGCGAAAGCCUGAUCCAGCCAUGCCGCGUGUGUGAAGAAGGCCUUCGGGUUGUAAAGCACUUUCAGUGGGGAAGAAAGCCUUGGGGCUAAUACCCUCGAGGAAGGACAUCACCCACAGAAGAAGCACCGGCUAACUCCGUGCCAACAGCCGCGGUAAUACGGAGGGUGCGAGCGUUAAUCGGAAUUACUGGGCGUAAAGCGCGCGUAGGCGGUCUGAUAAGCCGGUUGUGAAAGCCCCGGGCUCAACCUGGGAACGGCAUCCGGAACUGUCAGGCUAGAGUGCAGGAGAGGAAGGUAGAAUUCCCGGUGUAGCGGUGAAAUGCGUAGAGAUCGGGAGGAAUACCAGUGGCGAAGGCGGCCUUCUGGACUGACACUGACGCUGAGGUGCGAAAGCGUGGGUAGCAAACAGGAUUAGAUACCCCUGUAGUC
This 465-nucleotide ribosomal RNA is filed under the name Vreelandella stevensii. Its description in RNAcentral is "partial 16S ribosomal RNA". It matches the Rfam family "Bacterial small subunit ribosomal RNA", at positions 338 to 795 of the family's 1533-position model. The record is from RNAcentral. Lineage: Bacteria; Pseudomonadati; Pseudomonadota; Gammaproteobacteria; Oceanospirillales; Halomonadaceae.